GGCAAAGCUGCGAUCGCCCAAACGAGAGGAGUGAAAUAUGCGUCCAACUCGGGCCUAGAAAAAGAUACUUACUUUCACUUCAAAUGCAACCACGGCUCAGCACACGCAGGUGAUGUACACUUUAGUCCCUCCCAUUGGCUCCAGCAGGACAGAUGAGGAGGAAAGAAACGAUCCUGAACUGAGGUUCUGCCAAACAAUGUUCUUGUAGUGUUUUAAGCAGGAACUGCAGAUAUGCUCUGGGGGUAUAUAGUAUGUCAAUUUAACCAAACAACGUGGUGGUUUCCUGUGUAGCUGUUCAGAAAGCAGACAAACUGGCACUGGACUGAGAUCUGCUGCAACGUGAGACUAAACGUGGACAUGAGGGACAGGACAAGUCGUGACUGGGUCUCAUCAGGAUAAACACACACAGGAAUGUGAGGAUGGAGAGGAGAGGAAAUGGAAAUUCUGGCACCUGGUUGAAGUGUCCUGUGAGGAAGAUCCCCACUGUGCCGAUGAUGAAGAGGAGUAUGGCAGCCCAGAAACACACCUUGUCAAUCAUCUUCCCAAUCAGCACCCAGCUUUCAAUUUCCU
This is a long non-coding RNA of Seriola aureovittata, 570 nucleotides long. RefSeq lists it as uncharacterized. Lineage: Eukaryota; Metazoa; Chordata; Actinopteri; Carangiformes; Carangidae. The record is from RefSeq and is a predicted model, not a curated record. The transcript is spliced from 3 exons.